AUGCGGAGCGCUCAUUGGCUUAGCUUCUCCGCGGGGCCGAAGGCUUUCUGGGUAGUUCCGGGGCGCCGCAGGCCUCCGCGAGGGGCGCUCCACAGCCGUCCCUGCGGAGCAACUGUCACCCGCGCCGAGAGGGUCUCUGGGAAGUGGCGCCGUCAACUUCGGAGGUUAGAGGAGCGGCUUCGCUCCCCACGUGGGCUGAAGGCGGGUUUCUGGGCGUCCUGUAUGCAGGGCCCGAGAACCGGCUCGAUCGCAGCCAACAGUUGGCAGCUCGAAUCCCGGCGGGUUCGUGUGCGCCUCCUGGGGUCGCCCGCAGAGGUGCGAUUUGGCCUCGGGGGCCACAGGUGCGAACUCGGCUCUCCAAGGGCCGCGCGGACGCGUCGCUGGCGGCUCGGGUCUGCGGCCAGAGUGAGGCCCUUCGCCCCCGGGACCGGCGGUGGAGACGCGGCGCCUGGAGGCCGGGGGGCCCGGGGGAGCCCGGCAGGGAGGAGCCCCACACAGUAACCGCGCGCGCCCGCAGCUCCCGGCUCUCCUACCCGGACCCUGAGAGCAGCUCCCCGGGCGGGCGCCUCCUGGAGGUCACGUGUGAAAGUCCAAUUCGACCUCUUGGAUUAGAAGGGGAACUCAGACUCAGAGGGGCCUGGGACGGAGACUCUGAGGUCCCCAGAGGACGUGCCCACGCCCUCUAGAUGUGUCCCCUGGCCCCUCGUUGCCCUGUCCUCCACUCGAGCUUCCGUGGGGCCUGAAAUUCCACCCCCACGGUGCCCAGCCAACGCUGUCCCCUGUCAGAUGCGACCUCUGAUCACACCUGGCCCUCUGGCUUUGCAGUAUGUCUGUUCACGGAGGGAAGGAAUUAGCCAGUUCCCUCAAGAAAACGGGAGCAGUGAGAGCCCAACACUUUCUUCAGAUUAAGGAAUUAUCUGGGGACGCCUGGGUGGCUCAUGGCUCAGUUGGUUAACCGUCUGCCUUUGGCUCAGGUCAUGAUCCCAGGGUCCUGGGAUCGAGUCCCGCAUCGGGCUCCCUGCUCAGCAGGAAGCCUGCUUUUCCCCCUGCCUGCCGCUAUCCCCUGCUUGUGCCGCUAUCCCCUGCUUGUGCCGCUAUCCCCUGCUUGUGCUUUCUUUCUCUCUCUGACAAAUAAAUAAAAAAUCUUAAAAAAAAAAAAAAAAGGAAUUGUCUGAUACAAUAAAUAUUAAGGUACCUUGUUAGUUC
RNAcentral lists this long non-coding RNA (1206 nucleotides) under Zalophus californianus (California sea lion). RNAcentral's name for it is "lncRNA (ENSZCAG00015021960.1)". Lineage: Eukaryota; Metazoa; Chordata; Mammalia; Carnivora; Otariidae. The record is from RNAcentral.